Molecule: RNA transcript, 2363 nt
Organism: Selaginella moellendorffii
Lineage: Eukaryota; Viridiplantae; Streptophyta; Lycopodiopsida; Selaginellales; Selaginellaceae
Gene name: ADP-ribosylation factor GTPase-activating protein AGD12
Exons: 2
Source: RefSeq, a predicted model, not a curated record
AGAUCCAAUGGAAGAUCUAAGAAGUUCUUCCAAGAAGUUCUUAUCUAUCUAUCCAGCCAUGGAAGACGUCCAGUUCUAUGCCACCCUCCUGCGAUCCUGCGAGAAAUCCCGGGAUCUCGCCAGGGUCAGCGAGAUCCAGGAUGAGAUCCACAGCAGCGGGCACUCCCGGAACAUCUUCCUCGCCAAUCUGGUGAUCCGCGCAUUCGCCAGAUGCGGGAGCUUGGAUCGCGCGACCCGCGCAUUCGCGGCGCUGGAUCGCCCCAACGUGUUCUCGUGGAACACGAUGAUCGCCGCUUACGCGCAGCACGGGCGCCUGGAUCUCGCGCGAGCGGCAUUCCAGCGGAUGCCCGCGACAAUCCGAACGAUUCAGUCGUGGAAUUCGAUGCUCCGGGCGCUCGCUGACGCUGGGGAGCUGGGCGACGCGAUCGAUCUCUUCGCCAGGAUGGAGGAGCGCAACACCGUGUCGUGGAAUUCCAUGAUCGAGGCCUAUUCCCGCGCUGGGCGAGUGACCGAAGCCAAGGAUCUCUUCGAUCGCAUGCCCGACCGGGAUUUCUUCUCGUGGGCUGCUAUGAUCGAGGCCUUCCUCGCGAGAGAUCUCGUGGAUCCGGCCAUGGAGCUGCUGCGCCGGAUCCCACUUCUCGACACCGUGCUCAUCACAAGCGCGAUCGUCGCGAUUGCCAGAUUGGGGCAUCUCCGCAAGGCCUGGAGCUUGUUCCUAGGGAUUGUAGAGAAGGAUCUCAUCGCCUGGAACGCGAUGCUCCAAGCGUUUGUUCUUCAUGGGCAUCUGGAAGGGGCGCAGGAUCUCUUCGAUCGAAUGCCAGAGCACAACGCAGUGACGAUCAAUACCUUGAUCCAAGGCUACGCGCAGCACGGGAGCUUCGAUCGAGCAAAGCUUUUGCUCGAUCGAUCGCCCGAGAAAGAUCCAGUAGGAUGGAACUCUCUCAUCACAGCAUAUGCCCUAGCAGGGCAAAUGGACCUCGCGAGAGAGAUGCUGGAUCGGCCGUUGGUUUCGCUCAAUGUGGUCUCGUGGACGGUCGUGAUUAACGGGUACGGACAGCACGGACGAAUGGAAGAGGCUAGAGGAAUCUUUAGAGCGAUGUCUGGCCACGAUUUGGUCGCUUGGAACGCGAUCGUUCAAGCGAGCGCGAGUGAUACAAAGGUGGCACGUGAAUUUUUUGAUAGAAUGCCGGAGAGGAAUUUAAUCUCUUGGAACACCAUGAUUCAAGCUUAUGCUGACCAUGGUGAUUUGGAAAAUGCGGCUAUGGUGUUUAAAGCAUCGCGAGAGAAAAAUCUCGCAACUUUGAAUGCAAUGCUUGUGGCAAGCUCGAAGUCCGGAAAUUUGGAGGAAUCGAAACGAAUAUUUGACCAAAUGCCCGAGUGGGACGUUAUUUCAUGGACUACCAUGAUCAUCGCAUAUACCCAACAUGGGCAUUUAGAUGCCGCAAGAAGAAUCUUUGUUAAGAUGCCCGUCCAAAGCAUAAUAACCUUCACAGCUCUUUUGUGUGGUUUUCUAGGCAACUUUGAAUUUGUUCUCGCGAAAGCUCUUUUCGAAAGAUUCCCAGAGCGAGAUCUAGUCUCCUGGAAUCGAAUGGUAUCAGCAUAUGCCCAAGCCGGGCAUAUACCCAUUUCCAAAAAACUCUUUGACACAAUGCCAGAGAGAGACGUGGUCUCUUGUACGGCGCUAGUCACAGUGUAUGCCCAUUUAGGGUACGGCCUUACAGCCAUUGAGAGCUUCCAGACCAUGGCCAUGGAUGCCGUACACCCCAACGACGUAACUUUUCUGGGCGUGUUCGUGGCGUGCGCGCAUUUGGGCCAGGUGGCCGAAAUUUACGCCUAUUUGGCCUCCAUGGAAAUCGACUAUGGCAUCGUCCCAACCCAAGACCACUAUUCGUGCAUCGUCUCGGCGCUGGGGCGAUUAGGGCAGCUCAAAGCCGCGAUGGAAAUGAUCCAACGAAUGCCCACCGCCGCCACCGCCGCGGCGUGGGAAUCUUUAUUAUCCUGCUAUAGAUUCCAGCGCGAUCCACGCCGCGGGAUCGAUGCCGCCAAGCAAAUCCUGGAAAUCGAGCCCCAAAACGCCGCGGGCUAUGUGCUGCUAUCAAACGCGCUACUUUAGAUGGUCAACGGAUUCUUUUUUAAAAACAGAAUAUACCGGCAUACUUUAGGGUUCUUAAAACUUUUUUGUCGGGGUUUUAGGGUUCUUGAGCAUCAAAUGCAGGGGCUAAAGAGGCUUUUGGCGCAGCGGGACAAUCGCGUGUGCGCCGACUGUGGAGCUGCCGAUCCGAAAUGGGCAUCUGCGAAUUUGGGGGUUUUCGUGUGCAUACAAUGCUCUGGGAUCCAUCGCAGCCUUGGCGUUCAUAUUUCUA